This 90-nucleotide transfer RNA is filed under the name Catenisphaera adipataccumulans. RNAcentral's name for it is "tRNA-Ser". It matches the Rfam family "tRNA". From Rfam's summary of the family: Transfer RNA (tRNA) molecules are approximately 80 nucleotides in length. Their secondary structure includes four short double-helical elements and three loops (D, anti-codon, and T loops). Further hydrogen bonds mediate the characteristic L-shaped molecular structure. tRNAs have two regions of fundamental functional importance: the anti-codon, which is responsible for specific mRNA codon recognition, and the 3' end, to which the tRNAs corresponding amino acid is attached (by aminoacyl-tRNA synthetases). tRNAs cope with the degeneracy of the genetic code in two manners: having more than one tRNA (with a specific anti-codon) for a particular amino acid; and 'wobble' base-pairing, i.e. permitting non-standard base-pairing at the 3rd anti-codon position. Lineage: Bacteria; Bacillati; Bacillota; Erysipelotrichia; Erysipelotrichales; Erysipelotrichaceae. The record is from RNAcentral.
GGAGAGUUGUCCGAGUGGUUUAAGGUGCAGUCUUGGAAAGGCUGUGUACUCGAAAGGGUACCAAGAGUUCGAAUCUCUUACUCUCCGCCA